Molecule: RNA transcript, 2446 nt
Organism: Macadamia integrifolia
Lineage: Eukaryota; Viridiplantae; Streptophyta; Magnoliopsida; Proteales; Proteaceae
Exons: 3
Source: RefSeq, a predicted model, not a curated record
AAACCCCAAUCUCUCUCUCGCUCUCUUUCUCUCUCUAAUCUAAGACGGAACAAACUGACUCACUACCAGGUAGAAACCCCAACCUCUCUCUCUCUCUCUCUCUCUAAAAUCUCAAUUGAACACUUCCAGUUUCCACCACCGGAGGCUGUCGUUACUAUAUCUGCAGUCAAUCAAAAUCAAGAAUCAAGAUACUCUGUUUCUCUUUCUUUUUUUUUUUGGAUAAAGUGAAGGAAGGAGACUGAAGGAUCAAGGAUGGAUAGAUAGGGUAGGUAAAGAUUGAUCAUCUUGGUACUCUGGUUGUGUUUGAAUGCUGUUCCCUCAUGAACCAACAACAACUGCAUCAGCAGCACCAUCACCCCAACUUCCAUCAACCUUCUCAAGGUCCUACUCUCCCUCCUCAGCCGCAGCCCUUUCAAUCUCAGGUCUCUGUUUCGCUCUCUUCCAUGGGGGAGCAAGCUCAACCCCAACCUCCAGUCCAGACUCAAAUUAAUCCUGAACCCCAACCUCAACCUCAACCCCAACCUCAACCUCAACCCCAACCCCAACCCCAGCUCUCAAUUCAGCCUCAAACUCAACCCCCAGCCCCAAUUCAGACACAAUCUCAGUCCCAACCCAAAUUCCAACCUCAGAUUCAACUACCCCAACCCCAGCCCCAGCCCCAGCCCCAGCCCCAUCCUCAGCCUCUGCUUCAACCCCAUCCCGAGCCCCAUCCCGAGCCCCAACCCGAAACCCAAACUCAGGCCCUGCCAGAUGAUCAUCCUCAACUUCAACAGAACAUCACUACUGAAGCGGUAGAAGGCACAACCACCGUUGCUCCGCCGCAGAAAUCUUCGGCGACUAAGAUCCCUUUUCGGCCUCGAAAGACCAGGAAGGUGUCCGGGGAGUUCUCUACCGAUAACUCUGAAAACAAAGCUCCCCAUGCCGUGGACGGAGAUAAUGCUAAUCCGACUCCGCUGACCAACACGACCACCGGCAACAACAAGAAGAACAGCAGGGGCAGUAAAAUCCCCACCAUCCCCACUGCGGUCUCCGCCACCGUCACCACCACAAGCGCCGCCAACAACGAUAGCAGGAUCAUGGUACAGCCGAUUAGGGUUAUUCCGAGAAUCGUCGGCAAGACAUUAUCUUGCGAUGGAGAGGUUGCAGCUGCUAUUCGGCAUUUAAGGUCCGUGGACCCACAGCUAGCGCGUGUGAUCGAUGUCCAUCAGCCGCCUUCUUUUGACACAUUUCACCCACCGUUCCUAGCCCUCACCAAGAGUAUCCUCUACCAGCAGCUCGCCUUCAAGGCUGCGACCUCCAUCUAUACGCGAUUCGUUGCCCUCUGUGGUGGCGAGACUGGGGUAGUUCCCGAUGCCGUCCUCACCCUCUCUCUCCACCAACUCCGUCAGAUCGGCGUUUCUGCCCGUAAAGCCAGCUACCUGCAUGACCUCGCCAGCAAGUACCGCAAAGGGAUCCUUUCUGAUUCUUCCAUCAUUGACAUGGACGAUAAGUCACUCUUCUCAAUGCUCACCAUGGUCAAGGGCAUUGGAUCCUGGUCUGUGCACAUGUUCAUGAUUUUCUCUCUUCACCGACCGGAUGUUCUCCCCGUCGGUGAUCUUGGUGUUCGGAAGGGGGUUCAGCUCCUCUAUGGUCUUGAACAAUUGCCUCGGCCUUCCCAGAUGGAACAACUCUGUGGGAAGUGGAAGCCUUAUCGCUCUGUUGGGGCCUGGUACAUGUGGAGGUUCGCUGAAGCCAAAGGGGCUCAAGCGUCGGCCGCAGCAAUGGCAGUUGGUGCUAGUCCGCAGUCGCUUCAGCAGCAACAACAGCAACAGCAGCAGCAGCAGCAGCAGCAGCCAUCACAGCUACAGCUGCAGCCACAGCAGCAGCAGCAGCAACAACAUCAGCUUCUAGAUCCUAUCAAUGGGAUUGCUAGCCUCGGGUCGCCACAGAGGAAGAGUUGUCUCCACCACCACCUCCUCCUCCACUAGUUGCUCCAUAGGUUUAUACUCGUCCAGUUCGGGAAGCAUCAGCACCCCCUCUCCCUGCGGAACCUACCUUAUCAUCUUCAUCUAUGGAUCCUACUCCAGGGCCUGUGCAUGGGGACAGUGAUUGGGAAGGAUGGUAAGAGAUGGCAAUGUGUUUUCCCAUUGUUAUGUCUGCUGUGCUAUUGUCCUUCAAUCAGUUUGAGGAGUACUGCAACAUAAUUUUAUGAAGAUACUGAUCCAAGGAAUAGGAAGAGAAAGCUUGCGCAUUCGAGCUUAAGAGGUUCUUAGAUAUGUAUGCUCUGUUUUUCAUUAUACUAUGCUCUUAAUAAGAGUGCGUGUGCUUAUAACUUGUCUAAGUCACAAGAUGCCAAUUUGAAAUCAUUAGCUGUUUCUGAAGGGACUACUCAAUUAGUUUCAUCUGAUGCUUGCCGACCUUGUCUAAAACCUUCUUUAAUCAAUGAAAAGUUCCAUCACUUAUUGAA